Molecule: long non-coding RNA, 631 nt
Organism: Uranotaenia lowii
Lineage: Eukaryota; Metazoa; Arthropoda; Insecta; Diptera; Culicidae
Exons: 2
Source: RefSeq, a predicted model, not a curated record
CUUGUUGACACAGCUCUCGAUUGAAAGCGAGCACCCCACACAGUUGGUGUAGAGCCACUUCAUUAGUACCAAUAAACUCGCAGCAGCUUGAAGAACAGUUGGCAGUGGCGAUGAAGUCUUCCAGACUAAGCUACUGUCUACUAUCGUGGGCAGUUAUUAUUGUGAUGAUUUUUGUGGUGCCCCUCCUUGACGCCGAGCGAGUAAUAUUUUUCAAACCGAAAAACGCGACUGAAACGACGACACCAGUCAGUACGUCCAGCAUUUUUACCGGAGUCGUCAGUUGUGCCGAGGGCUUUGGGUAUGACCAAUUCCGAAAAGUUUGUCGAAAAUUGGUUCGAUGGUGAUUUGAUUCGAUGCCGACUCACAGCAAAAGAAUCUAAUGGAUCAUCCUGUUUCGGUGAAUCGUCGAUAAUUUUCUAUGGAAAAAUUGCAAACGCGAAGCCAUUGUUCGAUUUGGUACAAAUACUAGCUGUGUUUUCAGUGUCUUAUUAUAUUUAAGCCGAUACUUUAAGAUACCCACUUAAGUCUAUCAGUUAUAAGUGAUUCUUAUCUAUUCCUAGUGAUUGCUGGAUUACCAGGCAAUAAUACUUCAAUAAAUAAAACUAAACAGUGGAAUGUGUUAGGAAAAGUA